AUCAAGUUAGUUUAAAUAAAACAUUAGGAUGUGGGCCUAUUAAUAAAGAAAAAUCUUUACUUGAUA
This 66-nucleotide transfer RNA is filed under the name Dracogyra subfuscus. Its description in RNAcentral is "tRNA-His". Lineage: Eukaryota; Metazoa; Mollusca; Gastropoda; Neomphalida; Peltospiridae. The record is from RNAcentral.